CCUACGGGUGGCAGCAGUGAGGAAUAUUGGUCAAUGGACGAGAGUCUGAACCAGCCAAGUAGCGUGAAGGAUGACUGCCCUAUGGGUUGUAAACUUCUUUUAUAUGGGAAUAAAAUGUUCCACGUGUGGGAUUUUGUAUGUACCAUAUGAAUAAGGAUCGGCUAACUCCGUGCCAGCAGCCGCGGUAAUACGGAGGAUCCGAUCGUUAUCCGGAUUUAUUGGGUUUAAAGGGAGCGUAGGUGGAUUGUUAAGUCAGUUGUGAAAGUUUGCGGCUCAACCGUAAAAUUGCAGUUGAAACUGGCAGUCUUGAGUACAGUAGAGGUGGGCGGAAUUCGUGGUGUAGCGGUGAAAUGCUUAGAUAUCACGAAGAACUCCGAUUGCGAAGGCAGUUCACUGGACUGCAACUGACACUGAGGCUCGAAAGUGUGGGUAUCAAACAGGAUUAGAUACCUGUGUAGUC
This 460-nucleotide ribosomal RNA is filed under the name uncultured bacterium. Its description in RNAcentral is "partial 16S ribosomal RNA". It matches the Rfam family "Bacterial small subunit ribosomal RNA", at positions 338 to 795 of the family's 1533-position model. The record is from RNAcentral.